AUGGAGGAGUCGCCCGAGAACGCUGCCGCGGCGCCCGCCGCUCCUCCUACCCCCGCCUCGGCCCCGGCGCUGGCGCCGAAGCCGUCCCUACCCGCUAGGUCCGGGAUCCCGCCAUGGUACGACCUUGACGCCAAGUGGGACGCCUGCCUCGACCUCUCCAUCCGCCGCGUCGCCUACUCCUCCCUCGCCGGCGCCUUCGGGGGCCUCAUCCUCUUCUGUAAGCUCCCCACCUCCGCCUCCCCCUUCCCCUCGCCGCACCGUGAGAUCUGUUCGCCGUGCCUCCCAUGCGUAUCUCUUGAUCUAGGGUUGCGCGGAAAUGAUGCCCGUGCUCCAUCUCGAUCGGUGGUGGCCGCCAUGGACACCCGCAGCUAUGGUGAGCCCCUGCGCCACCGCCCUCUCUCCUCUCCUCCCCUACUCCCCCACCCAUCUCUCUCCCCCGCAGACGAACCCCGCCGCCAGGAGGCCGCCAUGGAGGCCUGUCCCGAGCUCGCUUUGCCGCUCCUUCAGUUGCAUCUGUACAUACCCACAGAUCGUAGCAAACCCAAUCCAGUAGUGGUAUUUGUAACUGGUGGAGCUUGGAUCAUUGGGCUGUUCUACUUCUUCGAAUUCAGGCGGCAUAAGGAGGACCCAGUGUUGAUCUGGCUGACGGGAGGACCCGGCUACUGCAGCGACCUAGCACUUUUUUACGAGAAUGGCCCCUUCCACAUAGCAGGCAACAUGUCGCUACUCUGGAAUGAGUUUGGAUGGGAUCAAGAGUCGAAUCUUAUCUAUGGUGAUCAGCCAACUGGGACUGGGUUCAGCUACAGCUCUGAUUCGUGUGAUACCCACCAUAACGAAGUUGAGGUGAACCAGACGGCGACCAAGAAGCGCGUGGCCCAGCUGACCAAGAAGGCCAGGAACGUGGCCGCCGGUGACAAGGAGCCCGGGUUUAAGUAUCUUUGCUGGGUGUCGAUGGUGUUGUUUAUGCCAAAACAAGUCGGUUGCUGCAAGUCUUGCAAGAAAUUUGGGUGA
RNAcentral lists this ribosomal RNA (1011 nucleotides) under Triticum aestivum (bread wheat). Its description in RNAcentral is "partial small subunit ribosomal RNA". Lineage: Eukaryota; Viridiplantae; Streptophyta; Magnoliopsida; Poales; Poaceae. The record is from RNAcentral.